RNAcentral lists this non-coding RNA (31 nucleotides) under Rattus norvegicus (Norway rat). Lineage: Eukaryota; Metazoa; Chordata; Mammalia; Rodentia; Muridae. The record is from RNAcentral.
UGUGUUCCAGACACUGGGUGCUAGGACUCUC